ACCGCACAAGCGGUGGAUGAUGUGGUUUAAUCGAUGCAACGCGAAAACCUUACCCACCUUUGACAUGUACGGAACCCUUUAGAGAUAGAGGGGUGCUCGAAAGAGAGCCGUAACACAGGUGCUGCAUGGGCUGUCGUCAGCUCGUGUCGUGAGAUGUUGGGUUAAGUCCCGCAACGAGCGCAACCCUCGCCUUUAGUUGCCAGCAUUCAGUUGGGCACUCUAGAGGGACUGCCGGUGUCAAACCGGAGGAAGGUGGGAUGACGUCAAGUCCUCAUGGCCUUUAUGUCUAAGGCUACACACGUACUACAAUGGCCGGUACAAAGGGCAGCCACUCAGCGAUGAGGCGCUAAUCCCAUAAAGCCGGUCUCAGUCCGGAUCGCAGUCUGCAACUCGACUGCGUGAAGUUGGAAUCGCUAGUAAUCGUAGAUCAGCAUGCCUACGGUCCGAAUACGUUCCGGGCCUU
RNAcentral lists this ribosomal RNA (463 nucleotides) under uncultured Desulfovibrio sp. RNAcentral's name for it is "bacterial SSU rRNA". It matches the Rfam family "Bacterial small subunit ribosomal RNA", at positions 920 to 1382 of the family's 1533-position model. The record is from RNAcentral. Lineage: Bacteria; Pseudomonadati; Thermodesulfobacteriota; Desulfovibrionia; Desulfovibrionales; Desulfovibrionaceae.